Scophthalmus maximus (turbot) is the source of this 3673-nucleotide long non-coding RNA. RefSeq lists it as uncharacterized. The transcript is spliced from 3 exons. The record is from RefSeq and is a predicted model, not a curated record. NCBI's taxonomy places the organism in Eukaryota, Metazoa, Chordata, Actinopteri, Pleuronectiformes, Scophthalmidae.
GGGAACUUCACUUUUCAUCAGUGCCACGCUGGUGUGGAAUGAGGAUUUACUGUUAAUCUUUUAAUACCAACAGCAUGUUUCACGGACACAUUUCGUUUUUUCCAUUGGGGAAGGGAGCGGGGAGGGGCAAUUGAGAAGAGCUGUGCAGAUAGGUUUUCCAGACCUGCCCCAUCCUCCAGUGAGGACUCUGAAACCACUGUUGAUCUACUGUCAAAGAAGUUCCACCCUGUGUUAUGGCCUCGGGGAAUGAAUCAUCACUGUAAGCAUGAGGCACACCCUCCUGGAAGGGGAGACUCACAAGGUGAACAUUUUGGCAAACAACCAUGGGAACUGACUUUAAAGCUGCAAUGAUCAAUAUCUUUGUAUCAAUAAUUUGUUGGAAAGGUUGAGGGGUGAGCACCACCUGAUCACCAGUCGGUGUUUAAUUUGGAGGGGACCUUCGGAGGAGAGUAAAACAAAACUUCUGUUGGAGUAACUUAAUAAGCCGCCAGCGCUAUGGAAAGUUCCACAUCUUUUACUUCAUUGUUCUGGUUUCAUGGCCCGCAAAUGUGCUCUUUUGGUUCAGUGUCACUGUUCAAAUCAACCUUCUUUUCUAAUGUUUCAUUCAUUAGCUCCUGAGCAUAGCGGCGCAUUUGCCAGAUAGUUCAUUCAGAUGUUGGUGGAGACCAAAAAGGGAGCUAAAAGAGUGUGUGUAGUACACUUGCAUAAAUAUACUUUUCUUUCUCUUAUAAUUGAAGUAGCCAGUAACCCAGUCUGUAAGACAUGACAGACAUUUGUUGUACAUCAAAGGGAAAUCAUUUCAUAACCACAUUUUCACUGAACUUGUUGUGUCAUUCAAUUUUUUUGGGAAAUGUGGAGUUGUGUCACAUCAAACAGUAAAUCAGAUAGAGCUAGUGUUAAAGGCUGAGAAGGAGAUGACAAAAUAACUUUCAGGCUUUGGUAAAGUUAUGAUGAACUUGCUCUGGCAACUACGAUUUCACAUGUACGUAUGUAUAUAUAUAUAUAUAUAUACAUAUAUAUAUAUAUAUUGCUUUUUUGUCAAACUUUUGGUAUAAACAUGAAUUGACUUGCAUUGCUGUACUCUGCCGUUCUAUUUUUUUAUUUUCCCCAUCUUCCCCAUCCAUAUUUUUUCUUCAUCCGCUGUAUCAUGUUAAGAGAAAUCCUCCAAAAGAAGUUUUGUGUUACUUUCCUCCAAAGGUCCGCUCCAAAUUAAACACUGACGUGUUAUCGAGAAGCGCUCACCUCUCAACCUUUUCAACCUCCCGAUGUAUGGGAACGGACUUCCUGGGCUUUACUGUAUGUUAUGGUUUUCUGUGGGAAUCUGCGUUGGGUAAGAAACAGAAACAGGCGCGUCCUGGCUUGAUAUAGACUAUGCAACCCCUUGAAGGCAGAUGACGGUGUUCUCACCUGAAAUUACAAAUUUCGCAGUGGGACAGAUGUGCGAAUACCUAAGCACACUCGCAGCACAACCCGACUACAACCUCUCCAAAAAGGAAAAGAUUAAAGGGUGACCAUGAACGGGAAGCACUCCUGUCCAGGGCAAACACAGACAUAGUCGUGAGCAGAAUAGACUCAGGGGGAUUUCCCCCCGGGACUGUGUAUUUUGUGAAUGAAUGAGUAGCACACAAUGGCGGCAGACAAGCUCAGGAGAUACAAGGACGAGAGCUUUAGGAGAGAGAAAAGAAGAAAAAAAUGACUGACUAGCACACAUCAACAAAUGGUGACCACUUCUUCCCCUGGCAGUUGGUUGUUAGUCAUGAAAUAGUAUUUCAGAAAGAAUGAAAGGAAGCCACGGAAACUGAGAGAGAGAGAGAGAGAGAGCGAGAGAGAGAGAGAGGGGGGAGCACAAACAUGUUGAUUGGCUCAGGGCUUGGUGCCUGAUUCUAGGCCCAUUGUGAUUGGCUGAGAGGUAUGGCCUCACCUUAAAAGAGGGUUACUCCAGUUCAAUGACACUGAGAUUUCCAUACGUGUGUGCGCGCGUAUGUGUUGGCGUGGCAGGAAACUGAACAUCCACCACAAAGACAUGCCAUUCAAAUCAGCAGCAUGUGUGGGCAUCGAUCUCUGCCUUCCUGAUCACCACGGACCCAGGCGCAACAAUCACACUUUUGUUUCCUUAAUUGUCAGAAAAUCCUUCAAAGGUGCCGAUGGAACAGGGAGAAAAAAAAAGAAAUCCAGGAUCGUAUUUGUCACAGAAAACUUGACAGUAUACAACUAAACAAAGGCAGUUUGAUGCAUCACAUUUGCAAGGUUUAACAGAAGACUUCCUUUAACAGUCGCACCAUUCAGGCACACAAAUGUGACAGGCAGUGUGUCAACAUCAUCAGCAAUGGCAAGGAAAGUAAUCACUUUGAAAACAUCACCGAGGACCGUAAAAGCUGAAUUCGAAUAAAAUGAAUUCAUAGGCAUGUACACAUUCCUACUCUGUGUAGGAAUGUGUACAUUCCACCCCCCCCAUGACAAUUCUAACCCUGACCCUGACCCUUUCCCCACUCUCCUCCACCAAACCCUUAAACUGACCCUAAUCCCUGGACCGUGACCCGGUGCUCUCUUUGAAUGUUAGCCACUGAAGGCGUGGCACUUGGCCAAACAAAGGGACUUUGUAUCAAAUCCAACUCUAGCCCUGAGUGAGAAAGAGUCUAUGAUUCAUAAUUUGCCAACCAAACCAGACACAUUAUAAGAGAGAGAUAACCCCCUUAAAGAAUCCUGAAUAGAAAAGUCUGUGAUGCCAAAAAUUGUGGUUGUAUGACACAUGUGCCUCCCCAAAUUCAAAUAGCCAAACAGGAAAUGUCUUCCUCUUCUUUUUAAAUAAAGCCAAAACUAAAGUUUGAAAGUUUGAAGUGGACUAUGUCUUUAAAACACCAGAGGCCAGUCGUUACUGAUCUCCUCCAAAGUCCCCAUGUGUCUUCACCACAGGAAGGCGGUUGCGCGCCAUUGCUGUUUGAUAUGAAUACUAAAAGUGAGCACCAACGAUGGAUGGGUAAUCAUGGAUUGAUCUGAAAAGAGUGUGAGUGUGUCAACGUGGUUCUAAAGCAAAACACGUUUUGUAAAAAUCUGCGGAUAUUUCCUCACUGUCUGUUACCUGUCGUACGUGUGCGUGCGCUGCCCCUUUAAUGUACGUUUAACCUCUGCUUUAAUUUCCCCUUUGGCAGUUAUUUUCUGAAAUUUCGCCUCAAAUAAUUCUGGGGUUUGACGAAGGUUAAGUUGGGAUCCCAGUACAAUGGAAACAGACCAGAAUUCUUUUACACAGAGUACAGGCGGGUUUACAUGGCCGCGCAGAGCACAUAACGUGCAUACCUGGUGAGUCAGACAUCAAACACACCCAUGUGUUUGAUGUCUUCCGUCAGCUAUCGGAAGUGCAGACGCUGACAAGAAAGCUGGAGAACACAUGAGCCUGCAGCUAUUCAUCUCUGCAUAUGAAUGUCUGUGUUUCACACUAACACACACACGCGCGCACACACACACGCGCGCACACACCUCAUUCCAUUCUGGACACAUCUCAAUGGAGGAAAAAUAAAUAAAACAAAGUGUUAUGCAACUGAUUGCGUCUUUAAUCGCUCAUCCCAUGAGUUUUAGCUCCAUUUCAUGACAAUGACCUGAGAAGUAACAAAGCUCAAAAUGGCGACUAUCUAAACAAAGAUAGUCACAAAUUUUUCUCCGCCAGUAUCUAAAACAG